Molecule: long non-coding RNA, 618 nt
Organism: Phragmites australis (common reed)
Lineage: Eukaryota; Viridiplantae; Streptophyta; Magnoliopsida; Poales; Poaceae
Exons: 2
Source: RefSeq, a predicted model, not a curated record
CACAUCCGCUCGCCUGAUAUUUUGGAGCUGAUCUGCUCCACCUCUCUCAUCCACUCAUCCUUAUCCGCUUCACCUCCUCUCUUGAUAUGCUCUCAAGCCUCUCUCGAUCUGCUUAGAUCCAUCGCCCAUCAGCACGAGCUUAAGCGGCGACCAUUUUUGUAGCAGAGGCGAGCUCGUCGUCACGUGUGGCUACAACCAUGACCCAGCUCAGAUCCAGAUCUACACCUUGCACUCCCACUAAUGUAGGCGCCAGUGGUACUCCACUUUGCCACAACGACGCUCGCGAUUACGGUGGUCCUCGUAGCCACCUUGUACCUUUUGUUCUCGUGUCUAAUCAAUUCCACAAGGCCUCCACGACUCUAGCAUCAUUUUAUUUGGAGUUCUGGACUAGCGAAGCAAAGCAGUUUGUGACAAAUCUACAGCAAGACUAACGUUUGGUAAAUUUUAUGAUUUUAUCUAGUCACGUAUUUGAAGAAGAAAAUUACAUUGUAUGCACCGUAUAGAAUUAAGAAAUUUGCUUCUCAAGAAUGCCCGGAGUCGACUGAGUUUUGUAAUGGCUGCUUGUAAUAUUAUAUACAGAGGUGUCAAUGCAAGAAACGUAUAAUACUCUUUUAGACC